Molecule: ribosomal RNA, 539 nt
Filed under: Enterobacterales bacterium
Lineage: Bacteria; Pseudomonadati; Pseudomonadota; Gammaproteobacteria; Enterobacterales
Description: bacterial SSU rRNA
Rfam family: Bacterial small subunit ribosomal RNA
Source: RNAcentral
GAGGCGUGGCUGUCCGGAGCUAACGCGUUAAGUCGACCGCCUGGGGAGUACGGCCGCAAGGUUAAAACUCAAAUGAAUUGACGGGGGCCCGCACAAGCGGUGGAGCAUGUGGUUUAAUUCGAUGCAACGCGAAGAACCUUACCUACUCUUGACAUCCAGAGAACUUAGCAGAGAUGCUUUGGUGCCUUCGGGAACUCUGAGACAGGUGCUGCAUGGCUGUCGUCAGCUCGUGUUGUGAAAUGUUGGGUUAAGUCCCGCAACGAGCGCAACCCUUAUCCUUUGUUGCCAGCGGUCCGGCCGGGAACUCAAAGGAGACUGCCAGUGAUAAACUGGAGGAAGGUGGGGAUGACGUCAAGUCAUCAUGGCCCUUACGAGUAGGGCUACACACGUGCUACAAUGGCGUAUACAAAGAGAAGCGACCUCGCGAGAGCAAGCGGACCUCAUAAAGUACGUCGUAGUCCGGAUUGGAGUCUGCAACUCGACUCCAUGAAGUCGGAAUCGCUAGUAAUCGUAGAUCAGAAUGCUACGGUGAAUACGUU